RNAcentral lists this ribosomal RNA (478 nucleotides) under uncultured anaerobic ammonium-oxidizing bacterium. RNAcentral's name for it is "bacterial SSU rRNA". It matches the Rfam family "Bacterial small subunit ribosomal RNA", at positions 364 to 832 of the family's 1533-position model. The record is from RNAcentral.
UUUCGCAAUGCCCGAAAGGGUGACUAUGCGACGCCGCGUGUGCGAUGAAGGUUUUCGGAUUGUAAAGCACUGUCAGCUGGGAGGAAUCUCUGGGGCUCUAAUAGAGCCGCAGGGUGACAGUACCAGCAGAGGAAGCCACGGCUAACUCCGUGCCAGCAGCCGCGGUAAGGCGAAGGUGGCUAGCGUUGCUCGGAUUUACUGGGCAUAAAGCGCUGCGUAGGUGGUCGUGUAAGCGGGGGAUGAAAGCCCAUGGCUCACCCAUGGAACUGUCCCCCGGACUGCACGGCUCGAGGAAGGAAGGGGAGAAUGGAAUUCCCGGUGUAGCGGUGAAAUGCGUAGAUAUCGGGAGGAACGCCGGUGGCGAAAGCGAUUCUCUGGUCCUUUCCUGACACUGAGGCGCGAAAGCUAGGGGAGCAAACAGGAUUAGAUACCCUGGUAGUCCUAGCUGUAAACGAUGGGCACUAAGUAGAGGGGUUUU